RNAcentral lists this unclassified non-coding RNA (345 nucleotides) under soil metagenome. RNAcentral's name for it is "partial contains 5.8S ribosomal RNA, internal transcribed spacer 2, and large subunit ribosomal RNA". The stretch from base 1 to 120 matches the Rfam family "5.8S ribosomal RNA", at positions 35 to 154 of the family's 154-position model. The record is from RNAcentral.
GAUGAAGAACGUAGCGAAAUGCGAUACGUAAUGUGAAUUGCAGAAUUCAGUGAAUCAUCGAGUCUUUGAACGCACAUUGCGCCCCCUGGUAUUCCGGGGGGCAUGCCUGUCCGAGCGUCAUUGCUGCCCUCAAGCACGGCUUGUGUGUUGGGCCUCCGUCCUCCUCCCGGGGGACGGGCCCGAAAGGCAGCGGCGGCACCGCGUCCGGUCCUCGAGCGUAUGGGGCUUCGUCACCCGCUCUUGUAGGCCCGGCCGGCGCUUGCCGACACAUCAAUCUUUUUUCCAGGUUGACCUCGGAUCAGGUGGGGAUACCCGCUGAACUUAAGCAUAUCAAUAAGCAGAGGA